Molecule: microRNA precursor, 85 nt
Filed under: Pelodiscus sinensis (Chinese soft-shelled turtle)
Lineage: Eukaryota; Metazoa; Chordata; Testudines; Trionychidae
Description: miRNA (ENSPSIG00000020339.1)
Source: RNAcentral
GCGAUGCCUCGCGGCAUUUGUGUGUGUGUGUGUGUGUGUGUGCGCGCGCGUGCGCACGCACAUACAAACACCACCCCUGCCAACU